Molecule: ribosomal RNA, 976 nt
Filed under: Onishia taeanensis
Lineage: Bacteria; Pseudomonadati; Pseudomonadota; Gammaproteobacteria; Oceanospirillales; Halomonadaceae
Description: bacterial SSU rRNA
Rfam family: Bacterial small subunit ribosomal RNA
Source: RNAcentral
UGCAAGUCGAGCGGAAACGAACCUAGCUUGCUAGGAGGCGUCGAGCGGCGGACGGGUGAGUAAUGCAUAGGAAUCUGCCCGGUAGUGGGGGAUAACUUGGGGAAACUCAAGCUAAUACCGCAUACGCCCUACGGGGGAAAGCAGGGGAUCUUCGGACCUUGCGCUAUCGGAUGAGCCUAUGUCGGAUUAGCUAGUUGGUGAGGUAACGGCUCACCAAGGCGACGAUCCGUAGCUGGUCUGAGAGGAUGAUCAGCCACACUGGGACUGAGACACGGCCCAGACUCCUACGGGAGGCAGCAGUGGGGAAUAUUGGACAAUGGGCGAAAGCCUGAUCCAGCCAUGCCGCGUGUGUGAAGAAGGCUUUCGGGUUGUAAAGCACUUUCAGCGAGGAAGAAGGCUUGGCGGCUAAUACCUGCCAGGAAGGACAUCACUCGCAGAAGAAGCACCGGCUAACUCCGUGCCAGCAGCCGCGGUAAUACGGAGGGUGCAAGCGUUAAUCGGAAUUACUGGGCGUAAAGCGCGCGUAGGUGGCUUGAUAAGCCGGUUGUGAAAGCCCCGGGCUCAACCUGGGAACUGCAUCCGGAACUGUUAGGCUAGAGUGCAGGAGAGGAAGGUAGAAUUCCCGGUGUAGCGGUGAAAUGCGUAGAGAUCGGGAGGAAUACCAGUGGCGAAGGCGGCCUUCUGGACUGACACUGACACUGAGGUGCGAAAGCGUGGGUAGCAAACAGGAUUAGAUACCCUGGUAGUCCACGCCGUAAACGAUGUCGACUAGCCGUUGGGAGCCUUGAGUUCUUAGUGGCGCAGCUAACGCAAUAAGUCGACCGCCUGGGGAGUACGGCCGCAAGGUUAAAACUCAAAUGAAUUGACGGGGGCCCGCACAAGCGGUGGAGCAUGUGGUUUAAUUCGAUGCAACGCGAAGAACCUUACCUACUCUUGACAUCGUGCGAACUUGGUAGAGAUACCUUGGUGCCUUCGG